Non-coding RNA from Callithrix jacchus (white-tufted-ear marmoset), 914 nucleotides. NCBI's taxonomy places the organism in Eukaryota, Metazoa, Chordata, Mammalia, Primates, Cebidae. The record is from RefSeq and is a predicted model, not a curated record.
CAGCUCCACCUGCCGUCGCUCCAGCCUGUGUAGUUGCAGCCCUGGCUGCCUCCCGCCAGCUCGCCUUGGGGAAAAGGAGCGCGAGCUCGGGCAUUUGCGUCCCAGCCUCUCCCUGAGCCAUGAACUCCAACUGCGCCCAGUGUGGCAAGAUCGUGUAUCCCAUGGAGAAGAUGGACUGUCUGGAUAAGUUCUGGCACAAAGCAUGCUUCCAUUGCAAGACCUGCAAGAUGACGCUGAACAUGAAGAACUACAAGGGCUACAAGAAGAAGCCCUACUGCAAUGCACACUACCCCAAGCGGUCCUUCACCAUGGUGGCCAACACCCCGGAAAACCUUUGCCUCAAGCAACAGAGUGAGCUCCAGAGUCAGGUGCACUACAAGGAGGAGUUUGAGAAGAACAAGGGCAAAGGCUUCAGCGUGGUCGCGGACAUGCCUGAGCUCCAGAGAAUCAAGACCCAGGACCAGAUCAGUAACAUAAAAUACCAUGAAGAGUUUGAGAAGAGCUGCAUGGGCCCUAGCGGGGGUGAGGGCAUGGAGCCAGAGUGCUAGGACUCCCAGGACAGCAGCAGCUACCGGCAGCCCCUGGAGCAGCAGCAGCCCCACCACGUCCCAACCAGUGCCCCGGUUUACUAGCAGUCCCAGCAGCAGCCAACGGCCCAGUCCUAUGGGAGCUACAAGGAGCCUGCAGCCCCAGUCUCCGUACAGCGCAGCGCUCCAGGUGGCGGCAGGAAGUGGUACGGCGCGGUGUAUGACUACAGCGCCUCCGGCGAGGACGACGACGAAGACGAGGUCUCCUUCCAGGACAGGGACACCAUCGUCAACGUGCAGCAGGUCGACCACGGCUGGAUGUACAAGACGGUGGAGUGCACCGGCGACAUGGGGAUGCUGCUGGCCAACUACGUGGAGGCCAUCUGA